GGUUAAGCGACUAAGCGUACACGGUGGAUGCCCUGGCAGUCAGAGGCGAUGAAGGACGUGCUAAUCUGCGAUAAGCGUCGGUAAGGUGAUAUGAACCGUUAUAACCGGCGAUUUCCGAAUGGGGAAACCCAGUGUGUUUCGACACACUAUCAUUAACUGAAUCCAUAGGUUAAUGAGGCGAACCGGGGGAACUGAAACAUCUAAGUACCCCGAGGAAAAGAAAUCAACCGAGAUUCCCCCAGUAGCGGCGAGCGAACGGGGAGCAGCCCAGAGCCUGAAUCAGUGUGUGUGUUAGUGGAAGCGUCUGGAAAGGCGCGCGAUACAGGGUGACAGCCCCGUACACAAAAAUGCACAUGCUGUGAGCUCGAUGAGUAGGGCGGGACACGUGGUAUCCUGUCUGAAUAUGGGGGGACCAUCCUCCAAGGCUAAAUACUCCUGACUGACCGAUAGUGAACCAGUACCGUGAGGGAAAGGCGAAAAGAACCCCGGCGAGGGGAGUGAAAAAGAACCUGAAACCGUGUACGUACAAGCAGUGGGAGCACGCUUAGGCGUGUGACUGCGUACCUUUUGUAUAAUGGGUCAGCGACUUAUAUUCUGUAGCAAGGUUAACCGAAUAGGGGAGCCGAAGGGAAACCGAGUCUUAACUGGGCGUUAAGUUGCAGGGUAUAGACCCGAAACCCGGUGAUCUAGCCAUGGGCAGGUUGAAGGUUGGGUAACACUAACUGGAGGACCGAACCGACUAAUGUUGAAAAAUUAGCGGAUGACUUGUGGCUGGGGGUGAAAGGCCAAUCAAACCGGGAGAUAGCUGGUUCUCCCCGAAAGCUAUUUAGGUAGCGCCUCGUGAAUUCAUCUCCGGGGGUAGAGCACUGUUUCGGCAAGGGGGUCAUCCCGACUUACCAACCCGAUGCAAACUGCGAAUACCGGAGAAUGUUAUCACGGGAGACACACGGCGGGUGCUAACGUCCGUCGUGAAGAGGGAAACAACCCAGACCGCCAGCUAAGGUCCCAAAGUCAUGGUUAAGUGGGAAACGAUGUGGGAAGGCCCAGACAGCCAGGAUGUUGGCUUAGAAGCAGCCAUCAUUUAAAGAAAGCGUAAUAGCUCACUGGUCGAGUCGGCCUGCGCGGAAGAUGUAACGGGGCUAAACCAUGCACCGAAGCUGCGGCAGCGACGCUUAUGCGUUGUUGGGUAGGGGAGCGUUCUGUAAGCCUGUGAAGGUGUACUGUGAGGUAUGCUGGAGGUAUCAGAAGUGCGAAUGCUGACAUAAGUAACGAUAAAGCGGGUGAAAAGCCCGCUCGCCGGAAGACCAAGGGUUCCUGUCCAACGUUAAUCGGGGCAGGGUGAGUCGACCCCUAAGGCGAGGCCGAAAGGCGUAGUCGAUGGGAAACAGGUUAAUAUUCCUGUACUUGGUGUUACUGCGAAGGGGGGACGGAGAAGGCUAUGUUGGCCGGGCGACGGUUGUCCCGGUUUAAGCGUGUAGGCUGGUUUUCCAGGCAAAUCCGGAAAAUCAAGGCUGAGGCGUGAUGACGAGGCACUACGGUGCUGAAGCAACAAAUGCCCUGCUUCCAGGAAAAGCCUCUAAGCAUCAGGUAACAUCAAAUCGUACCCCAAACCGACACAGGUGGUCAGGUAGAGAAUACCAAGGCGCUUGAGAGAACUCGGGUGAAGGAACUAGGCAAAAUGGUGCCGUAACUUCGGGAGAAGGCACGCUGAUAUGUAGGUGAAGUCCCUCGCGGAUGGAGCUGAAAUCAGUCGAAGAUACCAGCUGGCUGCAACUGUUUAUUAAAAACACAGCACUGUGCAAACACGAAAGUGGACGUAUACGGUGUGACGCCUGCCCGGUGCCGGAAGGUUAAUUGAUGGGGUCAGCGCAAGCGAAGCUCUUGAUCGAAGCCCCGGUAAACGGCGGCCGUAACUAUAACGGUCCUAAGGUAGCGAAAUUCCUUGUCGGGUAAGUUCCGACCUGCACGAAUGGCGUAAUGAUGGCCAGGCUGUCUCCACCCGAGACUCAGUGAAAUUGAACUCGCUGUGAAGAUGCAGUGUACCCGCGGCAAGACGGAAAGACCCCGUGAACCUUUACUAUAGCUUGACACUGAACAUUGAGCCUUGAUGUGUAGGAUAGGUGGGAGGCUUUGAAGUGUGGACGCCAGUCUGCAUGGAGCCGACCUUGAAAUACCACCCUUUAAUGUUUGAUGUUCUAACGUGGACCCGUAAUCCGGGUUGCGGACAGUGUCUGGUGGGUAGUUUGACUGGGGCGGUCUCCUCCUAAAGAGUAACGGAGGAGCACGAAGGUUGGCUAAUCCUGGUCGGACAUCAGGAGGUUAGUGCAAUGGCAUAAGCCAGCUUGACUGCGAGCGUGACGGCGCGAGCAGGUGCGAAAGCAGGUCAUAGUGAUCCGGUGGUUCUGAAUGGAAGGGCCAUCGCUCAACGGAUAAAAGGUACUCCGGGGAUAACAGGCUGAUACCGCCCAAGAGUUCAUAUCGACGGCGGUGUUUGGCACCUCGAUGUCGGCUCAUCACAUCCUGGGGCUGAAGUAGGUCCCAAGGGUAUGGCUGUUCGCCAUUUAAAGUGGUACGCGAGCUGGGUUUAGAACGUCGUGAGACAGUUCGGUCCCUAUCUGCCGUGGGCGCUGGAGAAUUGAGGGGGGCUGCUCCUAGUACGAGAGGACCGGAGUGGACGCAUCACUGGUGUUCGGGUUGUCAUGCCAAUGGCACUGCCCGGUAGCUAAAUGCGGAAGAGAUAAGUGCUGAAAGCAUCUAAGCACGAAACUUGCCCCGAGAUGAGUUCUCCCUGACCCUUUAAGGGUCCUGAAGGAACGUUGAAGACGACGACGUUGAUAGGCCGGGUGUGUAAGCGCAGCGAUGCGUUGAGCUAACCGGUACUAAUGAACCGUGAGGCUUAACCUU
RNAcentral lists this ribosomal RNA (2904 nucleotides) under Escherichia coli. RNAcentral describes it as "23S ribosomal RNA". It matches the Rfam family "Bacterial large subunit ribosomal RNA". Lineage: Bacteria; Pseudomonadati; Pseudomonadota; Gammaproteobacteria; Enterobacterales; Enterobacteriaceae. The record is from RNAcentral.